AGCGUACACGGUGGAUGCCCUGGCAGUCAGAGGCGAUGAAGGACGUGCUAAUCUGCGAUAAGCGUCGGUAAGGUGAUAUGAACCGUUAUAACCGGCGAUUUCCGAAUGGGGAAACCCAGUGUGUUUCGACACACUAUCAUUAACUGAAUCCAUAGGUUAAUGAGGCGAACCGGGGGAACUGAAACAUCUAAGUACCCCGAGGAAAAGAAAUCAACCGAGAUUCCCCCAGUAGCGGCGAGCGAACGGGGAGCAGCCCAGAGCCUGAAUCAGUGUGUGUGUUAGUGGAAGCGUCUGGAAAGGCGCGCGAUACAGGGUGACAGCCCCGUACACAAAAAUGCACAUGCUGUGAGCUCGAUGAGUAGGGCGGGACACGUGGUAUCCUGUCUGAAUAUGGGGGGACCAUCCUCCAAGGCUAAAUACUCCUGACUGACCGAUAGUGAACCAGUACCGUGAGGGAAAGGCGAAAAGAACCCCGGCGAGGGGAGUGAAAAAGAACCUGAAACCGUGUACGUACAAGCAGUGGGAGCACGCUUAGGCGUGUGACUGCGUACCUUUUGUAUAAUGGGUCAGCGACUUAUAUUCUGUAGCAAGGUUAACCGAAUAGGGGAGCCGAAGGGAAACCGAGUCUUAACUGGGCGUUAAGUUGCAGGGUAUAGACCCGAAACCCGGUGAUCUAGCCAUGGGCAGGUUGAAGGUUGGGUAACACUAACUGGAGGACCGAACCGACUAAUGUUGAAAAAUUAGCGGAUGACUUGUGGCUGGGGGUGAAAGGCCAAUCAAACCGGGAGAUAGCUGGUUCUCCCCGAAAGCUAUUUAGGUAGCGCCUCGUGAAUUCAUCUCCGGGGGUAGAGCACUGUUUCGGCAAGGGGGUCAUCCCGACUUACCAACCCGAUGCAAACUGCGAAUACCGGAGAAUGUUAUCACGGGAGACACACGGCGGGUGCUAACGUCCGUCGUGAAGAGGGAAACAACCCAGACCGCCAGCUAAGGUCCCAAAGUCAUGGUUAAGUGGGAAACGAUGUGGGAAGGCCCAGACAGCCAGGAUGUUGGCUUAGAAGCAGCCAUCAUUUAAAGAAAGCGUAAUAGCUCACUGGUCGAGUCGGCCUGCGCGGAAGAUGUAACGGGGCUAAACCAUGCACCGAAGCUGCGGCAGCGACGCUGAUGCGUUGUUGGGUAGGGGAGCGUUCUGUAAGCCUGCGAAGGUGUGCUGUGAGGCAUGCUGGAGGUAUCAGAAGUGCGAAUGCUGACAUAAGUAACGAUAAAGCGGGUGAAAAGCCCGCUCGCCGGAAGACCAAGGGUUCCUGUCCAACGUUAAUCGGGGCAGGGUGAGUCGACCCCUAAGGCGAGGCCGAAAGGCGUAGUCGAUGGGAAACAGGUUAAUAUUCCUGUACUUGGUGUUACUGCGAAGGGGGGACGGAGAAGGCUAUGUUGGCCGGGCGACGGUUGUCCCGGUUUAAGCGUGUAGGCUGGUUUUCCAGGCAAAUCCGGAAAAUCAAGGCUGAGGCGUGAUGACGAGGCACUACGGUGCUGAAGCAACAAAUGCCCUGCUUCCAGGAAAAGCCUCUAAGCAUCAGGUAACAUCAAAUCGUACCCCAAACCGACACAGGUGGUCAGGUAGAGAAUACCAAGGCGCUUGAGAGAACUCGGGUGAAGGAACUAGGCAAAAUGGUGCCGUAACUUCGGGAGAAGGCACGCUGAUAUGUAGGUGAAGUCCCUCGCGGAUGGAGCUGAAAUCAGUCGAAGAUACCAGCUGGCUGCAACUGUUUAUUAAAAACACAGCACUGUGCAAACACGAAAGUGGACGUAUACGGUGUGACGCCUGCCCGGUGCCGGAAGGUUAAUUGAUGGGGUUAGCGCAAGCGAAGCUCUUGAUCGAAGCCCCGGUAAACGGCGGCCGUAACUAUAACGGUCCUAAGGUAGCGAAAUUCCUUGUCGGGUAAGUUCCGACCUGCACGAAUGGCGUAAUGAUGGCCAGGCUGUCUCCACCCGAGACUCAGUGAAAUUGAACUCGCUGUGAAGAUGCAGUGUACCCGCGGCAAGACGGAAAGACCCCGUGAACCUUUACUAUAGCUUGACACUGAACAUUGAGCCUUGAUGUGUAGGAUAGGUGGGAGGCUUUGAAGUGUGGACGCCAGUCUGCAUGGAGCCGACCUUGAAAUACCACCCUUUAAUGUUUGAUGUUCUAACGUGGACCCGUGAUCCGGGUUGCGGACAGUGUCUGGUGGGUAGUUUGACUGGGGCGGUCUCCUCCUAAAGAGUAACGGAGGAGCACGAAGGUUGGCUAAUCCUGGUCGGACAUCAGGAGGUUAGUGCAAUGGCAUAAGCCAGCUUGACUGCGAGCGUGACGGCGCGAGCAGGUGCGAAAGCAGGUCAUAGUGAUCCGGUGGUUCUGAAUGGAAGGGCCAUCGCUCAACGGAUAAAAGGUACUCCGGGGAUAACAGGCUGAUACCGCCCAAGAGUUCAUAUCGACGGCGGUGUUUGGCACCUCGAUGUCGGCUCAUCACAUCCUGGGGCUGAAGUAGGUCCCAAGGGUAUGGCUGUUCGCCAUUUAAAGUGGUACGCGAGCUGGGUUUAGAACGUCGUGAGACAGUUCGGUCCCUAUCUGCCGUGGGCGCUGGAGAACUGAGGGGGGCUGCUCCUAGUACGAGAGGACCGGAGUGGACGCAUCACUGGUGUUCGGGUUGUCAUGCCAAUGGCACUGCCCGGUAGCUAAAUGCGGAAGAGAUAAGUGCUGAAAGCAUCUAAGCACGAAACUUGCCCCGAGAUGAGUUCUCCCUGACUCCUUGA
RNAcentral lists this ribosomal RNA (2787 nucleotides) under Escherichia coli. Its description in RNAcentral is "bacterial LSU rRNA". It matches the Rfam family "Bacterial large subunit ribosomal RNA". Lineage: Bacteria; Pseudomonadati; Pseudomonadota; Gammaproteobacteria; Enterobacterales; Enterobacteriaceae. The record is from RNAcentral.